CAACUCAUGCCCCGUUCCUGCACUCCCGCGUCUCUGAUCGUCAACCUGUGUGUACCGACCUCCGCCUGUUCUCUGACCGACCCUCUCUCUACGCCCGACGUCCUGACUGCCGCUGCUGCACCAGACUGCCUGCCCGAUCCCCGACCUUGGAACAAUAGACGUUUUUCCUGAAUUACCUCUGCGUCUCCCGACUCCUGCAUUUUGGGUCCUACCUCCGUAACGAUGGGUCGUGACAUGACUAGAUGAAUUGUGAGGUGUUUCGGUCUCCAAGGACUAAGAAUGUCCCCACUGACUCCUGUUCCUUCUUCCAUCAUCAUCCGGAGCGCCAAUCUGUGAUUGGUACACACUCAUUCAUUCUAUCAAAUCAAACUGUAUUCGUCAUAGAAGGCUGCCCUGAUUUUGGUUGUCGUCUCCCUUCUUGAAGCCACUCAUGGCAUUUGUGAAGCUGUAGCAUUACAUCUUCCAAAUAAGAAGUUAUACUGUGUUAGA
Syngnathoides biaculeatus (alligator pipefish) is the source of this 489-nucleotide long non-coding RNA. RefSeq lists it as uncharacterized. The record is from RefSeq and is a predicted model, not a curated record. The transcript has 3 exons. NCBI's taxonomy places the organism in Eukaryota, Metazoa, Chordata, Actinopteri, Syngnathiformes, Syngnathidae.